This 30-nucleotide non-coding RNA is filed under the name Rattus norvegicus (Norway rat). The record is from RNAcentral. Lineage: Eukaryota; Metazoa; Chordata; Mammalia; Rodentia; Muridae.
UCAGUGACGUGAACUUGAUGUGGCAAUCGA